CAGCCGCCACGGUAAUACGAAGGGGGCUAGCGUUGUUCGGAUUUACUGGGCGUAAAGCGCACGUAGGCGGACAUUUAAGUCAGGGGUGAAAUCCCAGAGUUCAACUCUGGAACUGCCUUUGAUACUGGGUGUCUGGAGUAUGGAAGAGGUAAGUGGAAUUCCGAGUGUAGAGGUGAAAUUCGUAGAUAUUCGGAGGAACACCAGUGGCGAAGGCGGCUUACUGGUCCAUUACUGACGCUGAGGUGCGAAAGCGUGGGAAGCAAACAGGAUUAGAGACCCCGGUAGUCCCUGUCUCUUAUAC
This 301-nucleotide ribosomal RNA is filed under the name uncultured bacterium. RNAcentral describes it as "partial 16S ribosomal RNA". It matches the Rfam family "Bacterial small subunit ribosomal RNA", at positions 509 to 807 of the family's 1533-position model. The record is from RNAcentral.